GCAGUCUCACCACUCCUAGAAAGGAAAAUCCCUCCCAGAUUAGAGCCUGGAUUGAUUAAAAACAUGAUUAGAAGUCAUCCAAGCAACUGUUGACAGUAAAAGGAAAUCCGGCUUGCUGUCUUGAGCCCUUCAUAAAAAAUUGGCUUGGAGAUCAUGCCACUGAAUUUCUUAUAUAAUAAACUCCAUGCCCUCCUCUUUAGGAAAGUUAUUUAAAGUAGCCUUUCAUUUAAGGCUGUAUGCCUGGUUUUUCUCUCAUUCCCCUCAGCUCACAGCUAGCAGAUAUCUGCUGACCAUCCUGUAUCCACAUUCAUCCUGCAGCUUCGCUGAAACUUUAAUAUAUGAAUAAAGUGCCAUGCUGACGUGUAAUGUAUGACAGCUGUCUUUGUGAGGAAGCUGUGAAGCACCUUGUUACAGCAGAGUGUAUUUCACCUGAAAAGCCUCCUGCAAAGUGGCUCCCACUUAACUGCUCAAGUUCUCUGUGCUUGUAGCUCACUCAGUUUGCUGUCAAACAAGUAGAGGGAGAUGUGCUUGCUGUAGGAAGGUAGCAGCCUUUAGGUCCUUUCAAGACACAUCUUAAUGGUGGUGGAUUUUUUUUUAUUGACAUCAUCCACAGAGAAGUUAAAUUCUUUCAGAACUUGGGAGGCCCUGACCAACUUGAAGGUCAAUACGAUAUCCAGGCUGGUAGUUCAGUGUGCAGAUUUUAUUCACACCUCAGGGAGUGGUGCAGCAGCUAGAGCAUGGAUGUUACUUCUGAAUUAAAGGAAUAGUGCUGGGAAGACUCACCUCUUCAAUUUCUGUGGGCAGCAAGUGCAGUUGGAUUGGUUUAGCAUUAGUGUAACUCCACAGGAUUUCCUGUCUAAGCAGUAUUAGAUGGCAAACACAUCUAAACUCCUCAGUCACAGACACACUUAAUUAGUAUGGAUCAAAGCAAACUACUUUCUUAAUACUUUUCCCCUCCCUGUCCUAAUUACCCCGAAGUGCAGCACUGGGCAUGUCAGGCGGCAACUUUACUGUGCAUGUGAAGAAAGCUAAGGACAGUCUUGGUUAAUUUGCCCAAAAGUUCAUUUGGUAGCAUGGCAUUAAACUGCAAAGUCUCAUGGAAUAAAUAACCUUGCUGGUGUGUUCUGGUUCAGCUGGGAGUUUCUGAGUUCCAGGCAUGAGCAGUUUGGGGUGAUCUGACUGCAAGGGUCCCUUAAUGACCUGUAUCCCCUGUCACUCUGGGUUCAUCAGCCUGACCUGACAGUGGGCCAGACUGAAAGUGAAUCUGACUCAGAUGUGAGCACUUUAUCACUUUCCUAUGGAAUUAGGCAGGCAGCAGAACGUGGAGGCUGUGCCCCCUCUUGCUUUUGAGCAGCUCCAUGCUGGCUGCAGGACAGCAGUACCAGACCCCAUGUAAGAGCAGGAGUGCUCUGAGCAGGUAACUUCUUUGGAAGCCAAGGCUGAGUUGAUAUGUCAACAUUUUGGGAACAAAUUUGAGCUGCCAAGGCAUUCAUAGCAGAAAAAUUCAUUAUGUCAUGUAGGCUGUGGCACCUUUUUAUCUGACAAAAGGAGCCCAAAGCCAGAAUUGCUUUAUUGUCAGGUCCUGGUCCUGGUGCGGUGAGUAGAUAGGUAAACUGAGCCUUGAUCUCCCAUAGUCACCACAUGGAAAAUUCCUGUGAAUUCUCCUUUACUAGGCCUGUCCUGGUCACCAGUGCUCAGACACCAGCAGAGAUUCCUUGUGUAGAAAGUCAAAAUUGUAAUUUGUUCUUGAGCUAUUUACUUCUGCUUGGGGAAGUGCAAGUUCCACCAGAGCUGAGUGUUGGUGGAACAACAGAGCUUUAUCCUGGAGUAGGGAGCAAGAUUCAAGUAUCCCAGACUGUGCACAAAUACAUAACUCUGUCUUAUCUGGCAGAUUCUUCUGGCAAGAACAAAAGUGGAAAACAGACUUUAAUUUUCAAAGAAGGUCUUCUCACAAGGAAUUUUUAAUGCAAUUUUCUUUUCUCUAGAUUCGUCUGAGCUUUUCUAGGGAAGAUGCUCAUUGACUAGGUCAGUGAAUAAUUCACUCUCAACAUUUGGCCAGCAGCUAUGGGAAUUUGUAUGAUAUUAUUACGUUACUUAUCACACUCUAAUUUUUUUCCCCACUGCUUCCAGGAGGAAGGUUUCCAAUCAAUAAAGUAUGAACUAAGCUUAGCACCUGCUCCACCUUCCAUGAGCUUCCAAGAGGGUUUGCCAGACACGUCUGCUCAGGCAGAGGCAAGGAUGGACUGAAGGGAGUGGAGUUUGAAGCCUUCGUGAAAUACCUUUUCUGUCACUCUCCCUGUAUAAACUGCUUGUCAAACAACUCCAGGUUUGUGGCAACUUGUGCUGUGUUUGUGCAGCUGGACAGAUCACCACGUGAAAGACAGGAGGGGGAAGGACCAAGGAGGUUCAAAGUUAACUAAGAGCAGUUCUUGUGAACAUAAAUAUAUAAAACUGGGCUCCCAUAUUGGUUUUGAUCAGAUUUGGUGAAUACCUGCUGAGUUUAUCAAAAGUUGUCAUUGCUUAGUGUAUUUGAAAAAUAUGCCUAUGCUUUGAUGUUGAUGGUGUAUUUGCUAUAAAACCUGGGCCUGUAUUGCUGCCCUUCCCUGGAAGGUGUCAGCGUUAAAAACAGGCUCAGGCUGCUGAAAGCAGCUCUGAGGCUCCCUGGAAACCAGGCUGUGCUCCUGCUUUUUUGCACAUGUGAAGUGUGGAGCACGGAAUACAGUCCCAAACUGGAUUGUGGACACCUUGCAAAGAGGGGGCAGGAAUUAAGUCACCUGUUUGAUCCCACAUAUAUCAGGGGUGAACAUCUGCGAGGGGGUGUCCCAUAAACAUCAUUAACAGGACAUUGCUGUCACUGAUUUUAUUCAGUCUCCUGAAUAAAAUAAUAAUCAACUUCUAAUAAUAUAAUAUCAUAAUUUAAUAAUAAUAUAAUAUAAUAAUAUAAUAAUAAUAUAAUAUAAUAAUAAACUUCUCUAGUCCAGUGCUAGAUGAAACAAAGUGGAAGUGGAAUGAUUGGCAGCUGGAAGCUGGAUAUACCCAGGGAGGUGGUGCCCCAGCAGCAGUUCCUGUGAUGGGAUGUGGGUGUCUUGGGGUGUAUGGCACUGACAUUUGCCUGUGUGAAUUCACAUUUGGCUUGACAACUAUCAACCAACUGCACAAGGUGUCUUGACAUUGUUUUCUUGGGGAAAAAAAUAAAAGGAUAUGGAGGAGUGUAAGGUAGAGGAACUUAACUGGCUAAAAUACAGAAUAAGCUAAUGAGUCAUAGCAGUGAUUUAAACAAUGUACCAGUACUUCUGGGAAAAGAACAGAAGGCCUUAAAUAGUCAUUGGAAAAGCUGAGGUUGGAAAAUACCCAGUAGUAUAACAUAUUGCUCCUAUGAAUCUGAAGACAUGCCACCUUUCAAACUUGGUAGCUCAAGGUGGAUGCUGAACUUAGCCUCAAUUUAGGAAUAAGAAUUGCUGAUCAAAUGCAGGGGGGAAAUACUGUUAUUAAAAAGAUGUCAGGAUUUUUAUUUUAAGCAGAUUUUGGUAGAAGGGGAUGAAAAAAAGCUGUUUUGUUCUGAUGGGUAUUUCUUAAAAUAAAAUGUAGAUGGCAAUCAGGUAAUGCAUCUUAAGGGAUAGUGAUGUUACGACUUGCUUAUGGAAAUUGUGAAGUGUCAGUGAAUUCAGCUUAAAGAUUGGAAUCUCCAGCUUGUUCAAAAUGAAUAAAUGAGUCCUCAUUUACACAAUGCCAUCUUAAGAACAAAUCUUACCUACCAGGAGAGGUAAUUGCUCCCAUUAGUUCAGAUGUGCUCUCCUCCUGCUCAAGAAAACUUCUCUGCAGACACCCACAACGGUGCACACAGACUGCUGCAAAGUGAAGUAUUUCUCAAAAGGAGGGUAACACAGAAGUGACCCUCCAUUCCCACUGGUGUCCUGGGUGCCUUAGGGAAGACUGUGGAGGUUGUGCUGUCAUGAAUUGGGGUAUGAGCAGUUUGAGAAGAGUACAAAACUCACUGGGUAGUUGAAUAGUUAUGAGAAUUAUUUACUGGAAUGAUGGAGUCUCUUCUUUUUUUUUUUUUUUCUAUUGCAAAUGGGACAUUUCUAUGCUGACACUCAUUCCAGCACAGGCCCAUCUUAAGGAUUCUUGGUAAAAUGGACAGUUAAAAGCUUUUAUUCAUGCUGUGGGAUUAAUAAUGUCUGUACUUGACCAUGUGUGCUGUAAUUCUUUUAAUAGCUUCAUUCCAUUAUCAACUAUUUAUUAAAAAGAUUUCACCACAGAUAUGGGCUUUAUGGAGAUUACUGUGCACUAUACUUAAUUACCAGAUGUUCAGUAUGUUUACAGUAUAUCUGGUAUUCAAGUAAACUUCUCCGUGUGAAAACCAUCUAAAAUGAACGGUUAAAAUACCUCUGUAAAGCUUUGUAUUAUAAUAACUGGAAAUGGAAAUUCCAGCUGGGCAGUGUUAUGAAACUAAAACUACAAAUUUUCAGUCCUGCUCCAAAACAACACUAUUAAACUCCAGUAAAAAUGUGUUUUGCUGUCUGAAUUUACCUUAUGCAUUCAGUCCAUCAGAUAAAACAUCACCCAUGUGUUUUUCAUAUUCUUUUUAGUUAGUUUAUUGCUUUCUUUCAUCAAAACUAUACAAACUCAACUGUAUGCUCAACUUUGAAACCAAACUUGGGAGUUUUAUGGUUAGGAAGUUCUAAAAUUAAGACAUGCUAAAGUCCAGGACAAGUGCUUUGCAUUGUCUCACUGCAAUCACGUAGCUUUCUUAAAAUUCUCUUUUCCAGGCAGUUUUUUAUUACUUAUUAACUCUGAUCUCUUUAAAUCUACCCCUUUUGGAAACAUAUAACUAGCAAAGUUAUCUCAGCCUAAGGCCAGUCUGAUAUAAGCUCAACUCACCACCUUCAAAGCAGAAACACUUUUCGUGUCUCAAGAAGUUGGCUGAUCCAGAAUCUUUCUGAUUGUGAGUCUACUUUCAUUCCUAUUUUACAUCACUCUGUACUGGGCUGACAUUGUUUUUCCACUUAAAUAAUCCUUCUUCCCUAUUAUUGAUUUUGGGCAAUUGUAGUAUUUUAGACUCCCUGUUGAGUCUUAUUUAAUCCUAAGCUAAGUAAGUCAAGCUGUUUUCCAGUCUUUCUAUUCCUCUGGUAACAUGUUUUCUGGUUUUCAUCUUUCUAUGACCAGAACAGCACACAGAUAUUCUCAUGCACAAAGUCUCAUGAGUACCCUUGUAAUAAAUUUCAUAAUUCUUUUUCAGGGAAACAUUAAUGAAUUUCAAUAUAUCUUUCCAUAGCUGCAUCAUAUCAGCAAUUCAUAGUCAACUUGUGGUCAAUUAAAGAAACCAGAUGACUCUGUCCUCCUCACUUCUACCUUAAGAACCCCUAGUCUGAAUCCAAAAUACUUAUCCCUCCACUCUCUGUAGAUGAUAGCACUCUGUAUUUCACUGUAUUUUCACUGAACACACCUUUGAUUUCUCCCCUCCCAAACGUGCUGCUGUGUCACACUGUUGUUAACAUUAAAUUAAGUCUUUCUGCAAUUGCCUUUUUGUUACACUUGCUACACUACUUACCAAAGCCAGCUCUGAAGUUCCAGUGAUUUCAUGGCAAACACCCUUGUGCUGAGAUAACUGAAAUAUCUACAGUGCUGGUGCUUUCCUCCGUUUUUGUCCGCUGCAGAAAGAGCUGGAAUAACCCAAUUAUUCAACCUAAUUCUAUAAUUACAAUACUAUGUAUGACUGCUGUCAUUCAGCUCUGUGUUUCUGUCUCUGGGUGCUCCUGGCAAGAACAGAGAAAUCCAUCCUGCUGCUUCAGUGAAACUUUUCAGUCUGAACCUCAGCUGGUUUGCUUUUAACCUUCCUCCAAACCCAACACACGAGCAGUGACUGGUGCUAUCUAACACCUCUUUAAUUUCUGUAAAUUUAGGCCUGGAUCUGCUCUCAGUGGCACAAAGAGAAGUUUUAUUGUUGACAUUAAAGAGAAUGGAAGCAGGUGAGCUCUGAGCCAUGACUGAUACCUCAACACAACCCCUUCAGCCCCAGGCCUGAUUAGUCCUUUAAGAUCUGCAUAAUAAGGACUUGAGGGUGAGAUUUCAUCCUCUUCCUGUUGGCUUCUCAUCCACAGAACAGGCUUCUUCCCUUGCCACACUUUAUUAAAAGGGAUAGCACCCCAGACAGAGCAUCUAAAGGGAUUAUCACAUAGCAAACGCAAUUACCUAUUUCUCAGCAUGUUGCCAUUAUUUGCAAGUGAAACAUGAUAGGCUUGAUCCCUGUGUUGAGUGUCCUCCACUGUGAUGGCUACAAAUUUCAAAGGUCUCAAAUCAUCUGACAUAAAAAAUGAUAAACAAAUCAAGUAUAGAGGCUCAGCUAAAUUCUUAGUAGCUUGUGUUUCAAAUGUUUUAGUUUAAGGACUUUUAUUUGCUUUGCAAUGGAUGUGGAAGCAGUGUAACCAUGCUUUGGAGGAAUUAUUUGUCCAUAUCCCAGUAGGAUAACUUCUGGUUGUACAUGAUUUGUACCAGAAUAAUUAUAUCAGUGGUGAUGCAAUAAAGAAGACCAAAAGUACUAUGCACUCCCACCAAAGCUGUUCCAUUCAGUUCUUGCCACUAAUAAGUGCUUGAGACUUACUUGGGACUUCAGUCUUUUGAAGCAGCAGAAUCCAAAGUUUUCACUACCCUUUUUUAUAAUGAAAAAUGGUGGAUCUCAUACUCACAGAAUUGUUCCUCUAAACUCUAGGGCACUAUUUAACCCAAGUUUAAAGUAUGGUGCAAGAUGUCAAAGACAGGAGAGAGUAUUGUGGUUAUCAGCAUUUGUACUUAUUCUGUUGGCAGAACUCAGGUUCUAUCCCAACACAACAAAAAAGCAUUUUUUUACUUCAUAAUAAUAUUUUGAGUUAUUUUGCAUAUUAGUGUUGGCAAUGCCAAUAAGCACUGUAUGGAGAAAAUUAAUUGCAUUUUAAAUUAACAAGUAAAAGCAUUCUAAUGCAUAUGCUUUGGAGAGAGUGAAAAAUUCAAGAUGAGGCUCAAGAAAACUCACAGAGAAAAAAAAAAAAGGUUCCACAAUGGCUUUUUGUUUGUUUUCUGGAAAACUUCUGUAUUCCAAGCUAUUAUGAGGAUUGCUUAAUGUCUAGGAUUGGCAAGUGUUGUUUGUGAAAGGAUGCAGGUGAGCUGCUUGCUGUUGAGAAAUGAGGUAGUGUGCUUCUCCUGACAGGGGGGCCAGGCAGGGUGGUGUGGGUAUGAAAUUAUUGGUUUACUGGCAGGAGCAGUAGUGUUUUGAGAAGUUAGCCAGGAUCUUAUGAGAAACUUGGAAGCUCUUCUGGAGGGGAGGGAUGGACGCUCAGGUACAUGCUGGAGGAGGUGAAGAGGAAGAAGCAAACUAGAGAACAUGACAAGGCACAAAAGGAAAAUGGGAAGGGGAGGAAAUUGUGAAGGGGAGCUGUCAGGAGAUGUGUGGGUGAGGGGAGAAGAGCAUAAGAGAAGUGAACUGGGCAGCUGCUGAUUGAGACUGACCAGGCAGGGGGAGGGCAAACAGCAAUACCCAACCCUCAGCCAUGAAAGGCUGAAGUGCCUUUGUUGUAUUCACCCAAGCUAUGGCAGCCAGCUGUGUGAAUUGAUGCGUCACAGAAACACCUUGGGGUUUGUCUUGUAAAGUGUCUCUUUGCAGCACUCUGUCUGCACACUGUGAAACUUUUUACACAGGGCAGGAGCUUUUCAAACCAAGAAUCUCUGUGACUGGUUCACCUGGAAAGAGACCCCUCUGGGAGGCACCGUUCCCCUUGCCUCACUGAGAAACAGUGUGAGACUUGCCCAGCUCUGUACAGGCUGAGGUGACUCAAGUGACACCCAAAGCCAAGCUCCAAGUGGCACAAAUAGCAGCAGAACAGGCCCUGGAGUGUUUUAGGCUUCACGAGCUGUGAGAGCCCUGAAAGUUCUCUCCAAGGGUAAUUCAGCCUUUGGUUUCCUUCCAAACUGUCAAGUCUGCUCUUGUAUCUAAAACUCUUUUUUUCCAAGACUUAUGGUGGGGUAUUUGAGUUGUAUGGUUGUAUGGAAUAGCAGCUCUUGUGCCUCAAUGGUGACUUGUGGCUAGUUUUUUCCUACCUGUAUCUCUUCUUUUGUCUUAGUGCGCUCUGGUUGUCACUCUGAAGAUCUGAGACUUCAGCUGUGGUCAUGUGGCCUCUAAGAGGAACCAUGCAGGUUUUGGUUUAGGUUUGUCACGUAUGAACAUGCUUACCUUGUCAUGUCAUGGUUCACUGUCCUUCAGCCCUCACUCAAAACCAAUGUCGUUGUCUAUUUCCACUCUGCUCCAUUUUGCAGCCUCUUUUCGGAACAGUAUCAGGGCAAACUGACCUGAGUCAAACUUGUCUCUUGGCCUUUUCCCACCACUGCAGAGUGUGAAGGAGCAGUGAGAACAGAAGGCAGUCUGCACUGGUGUAAAUGCAGGAUACCAGCCUUUUCCUAGAUUUUCCCCAUUUGCUUUCCACAAAGAAAAAAAAAAUUUUUUUUUGUUAUUUCACUCCUUUGGAAAAACAUGCAAACAAGAAUAGGGGCAGGAUUGUAUUUGCUGAUGGUUUGGGGAGGUUUUUCUUUGGAGCUUCUGUCCUCUCCCUGAGUUUCAAAGCACUGGCUCUCCAGGACAGUGUAUUUAGGAGUCUUGUACUCAAAGCUGACCUCUGUAGUGCCACCUCUGCUUGCCUGUCAGUCGGGUGACAGAGGUAUUGCUGUUCUUUCCUCAAUGUAAUGGGGCUCAGAGCUGCCUCUGCCAUGGCAGAAAACAUGAUGUUUUGUUCAGAGUUUCCCAUGAAAUGUCUGCAGCUGAAGCCCUGCCUUACAUUUGCAAAAACAUUGAAAAAGUGACGUCUAGCUCUUAUUGCUGCAAUCUGUUUAUUUCCUGUCAAGUACCUCACAUACUAACUUAAAAAA
Passer domesticus (house sparrow) is the source of this 8892-nucleotide long non-coding RNA. RefSeq lists it as uncharacterized. The transcript has 3 exons. The record is from RefSeq and is a predicted model, not a curated record. NCBI's taxonomy places the organism in Eukaryota, Metazoa, Chordata, Aves, Passeriformes, Passeridae.